AUAUCAGGAAGAGUGAAGGUCCCAGAACAGAUCCCUGAGGCACACCACUGAUCUCCGACCUCCAUGCAGAGUAUGACCCGUCUACAACCGAUGGAAACCCACUUCUAUGGGCAAGCCAGUUCUGGAUCCACAAAAUAUUCGUCUCUCUCCGAUCAAUUCCGACCGAGGGUAGAAGACCUUUGGGAACAAGACGAACGGGAGCCGGUGCCGAUAUCGUCUAAAGGUCCCCGAGUUGAAUUCGACCCUUCAAUCCAGGAUAAUCACGAAUUCCCUUCUCGACCUUUACCAGACCACCUGUUUGAGGAAACUUACAUCAUCAACCACAACAGAUCAAUCCCCGAAAGCAAAUUCUUCUGCCAACGUUGACCAGCAGGACAGCACUCGCCAGCGACCCUGUCUACCUGUGACUGCAAUUUCAUGGAAACGUGAAACUGGAUGCCGCGUCGCUUUGCACUGCUAUAAUUCCUAGAGUCGCUCCCGUUCACUGUGAAAGUCCUGCCGUGGUUUGUCGUCCUGAAGUAUGACUGCUGGCCCUUAACGAAUUCAGCUGAAUGUGGCUGCGACCGAAAAACCUCCUCAGUUGAUUAGGAUCCUCCUGUCAAUGAUAACUGUCCUCUCUGUUGCCAACGCCACCAACAUACUCUUUUCGGCAAGGUUAUUAACUGCACAGUGUACAUUCUUGUGCACGCAAUCAAACUGCUCGGAGGGGUGUUCGUGGGUUCCACAUCAUCCUCCUGUGUAGUCUUCAAUAUUGAUCUUGUUAAAAGCCUUGUUAAAUUCCAUGAACGUCACAUCUACUAUCCCUGCGUGAUCUCCCUUCCCCGGUCAAAUCAGACCGAUAAAUCUCCUUGGGACUCACGCCAUCUGAUACCUCCCUCCCCUUCGAUGUUCCACGUUCGCUAACCCCUCGUCUCUUUCCCUCUCUCACCACUCCAGUUCUCACACAACCUUCCACCUCCCAGGGCGUCCACCAUGGGGGUUAUUCCUAAUGAACAUAUCUAUGUAUAUUACAUAUACCAACACAGAAAAAUAGGUAGUUCAUGCACAAUCAAAUCAGUCGGCGAUCUCUCCCUAGGUCCCACAUCAUUACGCUCGAUAGAACUUGCCCUGUUUUACCGAAUUGGACUUUUAGAAGAAUCUAUCCCGAAAUAAAGACACAGACAUCGGUGUACGGUUAACCCUUGAAUAGGUGAUCACUUUGCCUUACGACUCUGCCAAUAUCACUUAAAUUUAUACAUUGCAUUUUCGGCGCAAGCCAACAGCCAAAUACAGUCAGUGAGCGAUUUCCAGAAGCACUUGAUCGGUAUCAGCCAAUCUAUGAAUUGUACCGGGAGGUGCACAAAAUUAUAACCGUCCGUCAGCCUUAAAAAACAAAUCAUUGGCCUCCACGGCCGCCUGUGGCAAGGAAAUCAACAGAUUCACCACUCUCUGGUUAAAGUAAUUUCUCCUCUUCUCCUUUCUAAAAGGACGCGCCGCUCUUCUCAGUCUUUGUCUUCUGGUCUUCGACUCCCCCACCAUAGAAACUAUCCUCUCCACACCAUCUCGAUCAAGGCAUUUAAAUACUCAAUAGAUUUCAAUAGGGUUACCCUCCGAAAUUGAAGUGAGUGCAGGCCUAGAGAUAUCAAGCACUUCUCAUAUGAGGCCCCUAAAUCUUGGAUUCAUUUUUGUGAACCUCGUUUGAGCUCUCUGCACUUUGAGCAACAUCUUUCUAAGAUAAGAGGGCCAAAACUGUUCACAAUACUCCACGUGAGGCAUCACCAGUACUUUAUAAAUUCUCAUCAUACACCUUUCCCUUUAUAUGCGAGCCGAAAUGCUGAAAUGCAUUUGUCCUCCUCACCAGAGACUCUACCUGAUAAGGUUAGAUCAUCGACACAACAUUGUGGGCUGAGGGGCGGGUAAUGUGCUGUAGAUUUCUGUGUUCAACCUGCAAAUUAACCUUUGGGGAAUCCCCCACAAGGAAUUUAAAGUCCCCUUGAAUCUCUGAUUUUUGUGUUUUCUCUCCAUUUAGAAAAUAGUCAACCCUUUCAUUUUCUCCUAAAGUGCAUAUUUCAACACCGCAGGACAUCUGCCAUUUCUUUGCUCGGUCUAAGCCCCUCUGUAGCCAGUAUACUCCUCAAAACUACCUGCCCCUCCACCUAUCCAUAUAUCGUCUGCAAACUGUGGACCCACGUUGAUGGAGCUGCAUACACGGACCGUAAGAUCCCUCUGCUCAUCGACACGGUCUUGUCUUUAAUAGUGUGCUAUAUCUUUCUAUUUGCCCGGGUUGAACUCAUCGGUCAUUUCUCCAACCAUAUAUACAAGUUAUUUCAGCAGAGCUGCAACUGUUUUCCUUUCUAGGAAAAAAUGAGGAAGGGGCAGGACAUGUGUAUUCCAAAAAUGAAGAAGUUCUCAGUACUCAAGAAGCAUUCAAUUUUGGCCGAAAAGGGAACUCAACACUCUUGUAAAAGCUAAAGAAGGGGCUUACAAGAAAAUAAAAAUUAGUGAGAAUUCAAUCAUCGGUUCGGCUCGCGUCUUCGUUCGGGUGUUGGUAGCCCCCGGGCCGAGAACCUUACGAAUUCUCCUUCAGGUGGACGCUGUACGGUGUUUAAAAACAGUACACAAUAUGAGAGUAACCGAUUGAGCUUUACAUUUGUAUUUUGACCAUAUGGUUAGUAAAGUAACAUAAUAAAGAAAGGGGCA
Molecule: long non-coding RNA, 2679 nt
Organism: Hypanus sabinus (Atlantic stingray)
Lineage: Eukaryota; Metazoa; Chordata; Chondrichthyes; Myliobatiformes; Dasyatidae
Exons: 3
Source: RefSeq, a predicted model, not a curated record